This 157-nucleotide ribosomal RNA is filed under the name uncultured Bacillus sp. Its description in RNAcentral is "partial 16S ribosomal RNA". The record is from RNAcentral. Lineage: Bacteria; Bacillati; Bacillota; Bacilli; Caryophanales; Bacillaceae.
GGUGAAUUUAGGCAUCUGAUGAGCGCGCGCGUGAGUGAAGAGGCCUUCGGGUUGUAAAGCUCUGUUGUCAGGGACGACGUUGUUAGUUGAUACCGCGGGCCUUGACCGUUACCUGAAAAAAAAGCCCCGGCUAAUUCCUGCCCACCACCCGCAGUUA